Molecule: ribosomal RNA, 490 nt
Filed under: uncultured bacterium
Lineage: Bacteria
Description: partial 16S ribosomal RNA
Rfam family: Bacterial small subunit ribosomal RNA
Source: RNAcentral
AUUGAACGCUGGCGGCAGGCCUAACACAUGCAAGUCGAACGGUAACAGGAAGCAGCUUGCUGCUUUGCUGACGAGUGGCGGACGGGUGAGUAAUGUCUGGGAAACUGCCCGAUGGAGGGGGAUAACUACUGGAAACGGUAGCUAAUACCGCAUAACGUCGCAAGACCAAAGAGGGGGACCUUAGGGCCCCUUGCCAUCGGAUGUGCCCAGAUGGGAUUAGCUAGUAGGUGGGGUAACGGCUCACCUAGGCGACGAUCCCUAGCUGGUCUGAGAGGGUGACGGGCCACAUUGGAAGUGAUCCACGGUCGAGCCUCCUACGGGGGGCGCCAGGGGGGAAUUUUGCAGAAGGGGGGCAAGCCUUAUGCACCUGUGCGGGGUGUAUGAAGAAGCCCUUCUGUUUGUAGAGUCCUUUGAGGGGGGGGGAAGGGAAAAAAGUUAAUCCCUUCCCUCUUUGACGUUCCCCGAAGAAAAAGCCCCGCCUAACUCCGUC